CCGCCUCCCAUGGGGACCCGGCAGGAGGAGCAGGGGCGGGAGCCCCGAGACUCGGGCGGCGCGAAAGUGGCCACAGAGCAGAACGGGCACAGUGAACACUUCCAUGGGACUCCCUCUGUGUUGAAUUGAUGCACCAGAGGCAGCAGACAUAUCCGCAUUUCAGGUGUCAUCUAAACCAAUAAAAGAACUCAACUGGCCUCAUACCUCCAGACCCUGAGUAAGGAACCCAGGUUAGCCAGAACAGACU
This is a long non-coding RNA of Eubalaena glacialis (North Atlantic right whale), 247 nucleotides long. RefSeq lists it as uncharacterized. NCBI's taxonomy places the organism in Eukaryota, Metazoa, Chordata, Mammalia, Artiodactyla, Balaenidae. The transcript is spliced from 3 exons. The record is from RefSeq and is a predicted model, not a curated record.